UAUUGGUGGUGUGGACACUUCCAAAGAAAAUCCUUGAAGAGUUCUCAAGCAUGAUAAAGGUUUUCAUUAGGAUUCUGUUUGAAGCUAACUAUCUCAAUGCAAAGU
Molecule: non-coding RNA, 105 nt
Organism: Capsicum annuum
Lineage: Eukaryota; Viridiplantae; Streptophyta; Magnoliopsida; Solanales; Solanaceae
Source: Rfam